This 305-nucleotide ribosomal RNA is filed under the name uncultured bacterium. Its description in RNAcentral is "bacterial SSU rRNA". It matches the Rfam family "Bacterial small subunit ribosomal RNA", at positions 338 to 660 of the family's 1533-position model. The record is from RNAcentral.
CCUACGGGAGGCAGCAGUGGGGAAUAUUGCACAAUGGGGGAAACCCUGAUGCAGCGACGCCGCGUGAAGGAUGAAGUAUUUCGGUAUGUAAACUUCUAUCAGCAGGGAAGAAAAUGACGGUACCUGACUAAGAAGCCCCGGCUAACUACGUGCCAGCAGCCGCGGUAAUACGUAGGGGGCAAGCGUUAUCCGGAUUUACUGGGUGUAAAGGGAGCGUAGACGGCAUGGCAAGUCUGAUGUGAAAACCCGGGGCUCAACCCCGGGACUGCAUUGGAAACUGUCAGGCUAGAGUGUCGGAGAGGCAA